CCUACGGGAGGCUGCAGUGAGGAAUAUUGGUCAAUGGGCGCGAGCCUGAACCAGCCAAGUAGCGUGAAGGAUGACUGCCCUACGGGUUGUAACCUUCUUUUAUAAAGGAAUUAAGUGAGGCACGUGUGCCGUUUUGUAUGUAUUUUAUGAAUAAGGAUCGGCUAAUUCCGUGCCAGCAGCCGCGGUAAUAUGGAGGAUCCGAGCGUUAUCCGGAUUUCUUGGGUUUAAAGGGAGCGUAGAUGGGUUGUUAAGUCAGUUGUGAAAGUAUGCGGAUCAACCGUAAAAUUGCAAUUGAUACUGGCAGCCUUGAGUACAGUUGAGGUAGGCGGAAUUCGUGGUGUAGCGGUGAAAUGCUUAGAUAUCACGAAGAACUCCGAUUGCGAAGGCAGCUUACUAAACUGCCACUGACAUUGAUGCUCGAAAGUGUGGGUAUCAAACAGGAUUAGAUACCCUGGUAGUC
This 460-nucleotide ribosomal RNA is filed under the name uncultured bacterium. RNAcentral describes it as "partial 16S ribosomal RNA". It matches the Rfam family "Bacterial small subunit ribosomal RNA", at positions 338 to 795 of the family's 1533-position model. The record is from RNAcentral.